This 3449-nucleotide long non-coding RNA is filed under the name Podarcis lilfordi (Lilford's wall lizard). The record is from RNAcentral. Lineage: Eukaryota; Metazoa; Chordata; Lepidosauria; Squamata; Lacertidae.
GGAUGCGUUUGCUCAGGCUCGCUAAAGCCUCUAUAAUAACUGUUCUGAUAUUUUCCCCUUAUUCCCUCAUAAAAGAUAAGACACAACACAGUCUUCUACAAAAGUAUAAAAAGAGUUUACUCACAUAUCAUUCUGUUCACAAUAGGAUCCCAGAAGGCAGACUUAGCUUAGAAAAGUAACAUACACUUGGAAACUAUUGCAUAAGAAGACAGUCCCUUUGUCCUCUCUUGGCUGGAACCAAGAGAGCAUCUUUGGCUAAGCAGAUGUUGCUUCUUCGAUGCAUGUAGUGAAAGAGAGAGAGAGAUGGCUGCCCUGCCCUGUGCUUUUGUCGUUACCUGCACAGGUGAGGCCACGCCCACCUCUAGUCAAAUGCAGAGGAAGUCUGGCCCAGCCCAGAAGGAAACAGGAAGUUUACCUGCUGGCUGGACAAACAUUCCUCCCCAUGUGUAAACAUGUUCACUCUAGGAAUGUUGUACUUGACUGCUCUUGUGUUUCACAUCCCACAAUAGGGAGGUGGCAAUCUCCCAUCCAUCUGGACUAGGGAACUGCCCCCUGACAGUGCCUCAGUUUUAUCUGGAUUGAGCUUCAAUUUAUUGGCUCUCAUCCAGUCCAUUAUUGAGGCAACACAACGAUCCAGCACUUCCACUGCCACACCUGCAGAUGAAGAGGAGAAGCAGAGCUGUUUGUCGUCAGCAUAUUGCUGACAACGUAAACUCCAGAUGUAUGUAAUGCGAUUAGGAGUCAAAUCUCUCAGAUCAGAAGUCAUGGUUUUAGGGCAAUGACUUUGGGUCAAGGCAGAUUAAGCCCAAGAUAUGAUGUCUGAGUCAGCUUGUUCUGUCUUUCCAAAGGGAUGAUAGUAUGAAAUUGCAUCAAUACAUCUAAGAGGGUGGAAACUUGAUCCCAAGUCUAGCUUUGUUAGACUAAUUAAUUAUUGCUUUUGUGGCAGCUGAUCACAUUAUUCAUAUCUGUGGCAACACUCAUGAUUAAUGAAGCGUUCAUUCUAAAAACUAAACGUAUAUUUAUAUAAAUAUUAACGAACUUGGUACAGUAAUCUUUAACAAUUAUUCUUCCAAAUCUCUACAAUCCCUCCAGCAAAACAACUAAGCGCUUUCUUGGCUGCUCUUUCAAAUAUAAAGCUCCAUUACUAGGUACACAAGUGGGGGGGGGGGAAUAAAUUAAGACCAUGCAGAGUUAUAUGCCAACAUUUAGAUGGCAGAGGAUUGAUUUUCUAUAAGGCCAAAGGCUUUUUAUAAUAAAGUAAAUAAAAUCUACCAUGAACCAUUUUCAAAUGAAAUACGUGAAAUUGCAUGUCUCUAAAUCAUGUAUUGAUCCGAUUUUCAUAAACAUGUUUUUGGUCAAUACUGUGAGUAAUCACUUCUCUGUCUGUUUCAAAAUGCUGAGUAGGCUGGAAUCUGGGGGACAUUUGAGCCUAGAGGAGACUAAUUCUAGGGCUUGUCUGCAUAUGGAGCAAGGCUGCAAUCUAAGCAUACUUACUAAAUGGUAAAUCCCACUGAAUCCAUGGGGAAUUAUUUUCUGAUAAACAUGCUUAAGAUCAGGCUAUAAAUGUGGAAGCGGGUCUUCAGAGUAGUCUUCAUUUAAGAAUCUAGAUUUUAGGGGUGGGGAGAAAUACUGCAAAUGUCGCUGCAAGCCAUGGUUUGAUUAAAUGAAUGAGCCUUGUCUUCAUGCAUUCGCCCCUCCCUCUUUCCCUCCCCUUACACACUUCAUUUGAUUAACAUCUUCCCAGUUUUCAAAAACCCUAGUCCUGUCUUCAGGACCCAGGGCCUCAAAUGCAUAGUGGAAAGGCACGAAGGGGUCCUACAGUUCAUCUCUCCUGGGGGAACCUGCCCCAUCUCAUUGACAAUGAAAACACCAUAAACAUACCCCAGCCAGCCAUAAUGGAGGGGCAGAGCUACCCCUGAAUGUGGCAAACAUAACCAUUGUGCUCUGAGAUGCAUAUACAUUUUAAAACAACCUAGCAGAGUGGCCUGGAAAAGAAAUAUCCUCUGUGGAAAGUGCCAUAUGCAGCAGCGCACACCAAUCCAGAUGCUAUGAACUACACUUAGAGAGCAAGCCUAACUUUCAUCUAGGAAUGGGAGAGCCGCCGCCACAUCCCAAACUCUGAUGCUCGUGCUGGCCAAGGUGGAGGGCAAACAGUUUGGCCCCAUUCUCCCCCUCCCUUGCCUUUUGUGCUAGCCCCUAGCACAGCAAAGGCAUCCAGUUGAAGCCCAUUGCUGGUAGCUGGACCUGCUUAGGAUCCAGCAGAUCUUUGACCAAUCUAGUUUGACUCUUUCUCUGCUGCCUCCAUGCCCCAGAAAUGCUCCAUUGUGUGUGGGUGUUCAGCUGACUUUUGUCAGGUGCAACAGGGACCUCUGGUAUUCCCAAAGUCCCCCAGUGGCAGAGCAUGACAGAGCCCAGCAGAGCUCAACACCUGCACCUGACCCAAACCCACUUCAGCACAGUGGAUUGGUCUGCCCUGUUACACUUCUUGGUGUACAAAAUCCUGACUAUCUAUGGACAAAGACCAAUCAAGGCAGAGGCCUCAAGGGUGGCUAACAAAAUCUGCAGGAAGUGGGAUUUGGUUUAAACACUGCACAUCAAAUAAACAGAAAUGGAGCCUUCAUUAUGCUGACAUGGCAACCAUUCUGAAGAUCAAGACCUCUAUACGUUCACCCUGGGCCUAAAACUUUUCAGCAUAGGCACUUUUUCAUCAGGGAGCAUUAUCUACAUAUCUUUGCAAUAUCAGCAUUCUCAUGGUCCUUUCACCACUUUUGUGCUAAAUCAUUUCUUGACAUUUUAAUAUGUCCCCCUGUUGUGCCAAGGCCCAGUACACAUUUGCAAGAAUGAUUCAGUAGUUGUACAGCUAAGAUUGAGCCAAAGACACACCACACCCCCUCUGUUUCCUAAAAAUAUUACCCCCCUGUGAAACUGGGGCGAUUUCCUGCUGCUUUCUUGGGAGCAGGGGAAAUUUCUCUGACAUUUUCAGGGGGGGAUUACCACUUACUUUACUAGGACUUGCCCAGAAGUCAGCCAGUGGAAAACAUAUUCCCAACAGCUUUAGGAUUUGUGCAGUAUGACAUGCGGGCAAGCCUUCUAGCACUGUGAGAGGUCUGGGACCUUCCUAUGGUUAUGCUAGUGGUGAUGAUAGAAAUAAAGCCUUUGGCAACCUUAUAAGACUGGAUAAAGUAGGUGGCAAGCUUUCCUGGAAAUUACUUUCCCUGUCUAUUCUUUCGAGAGGGUUUCAUUUGGCUCCUACCAAUUCAACAAACAGUCAAAAAUGAAAUUUUCAAAACAACUCAAUGUGAAGCUAUAAGAUGGCGAAUUAUGUUACGCAAUGUGACAUCAUCUGAAAAUGCUCAACAUGUUAGAAGAACUGAGGCUUUAUGUAGUUUUCAGUCAGUUAGUAUUGAAUGUUUUAACCAUAGGUUACAACAGGAGAUAAGAAAGCAAUU